AGCCACUAUCUCGCAACCUCAGGAUCGAGGGAAGCUCGCCCCAAACUGGGAAGGCCCAUAUGAGGUCAAAGAAGUAGUUCGGCCCGGAACUUAUUAUCUUAAGGAGAUCGGAGGAGCCGACCUCCCGCGACCAUGGAGCUCGGAGAACUUACGAAUGUACUACCAAUAACUUCAUUUUAACUAAAAGUUGUAUAUCUACAUGUCUUUGGCACUAUCCUACAUUUACAGGACAAUCCAAACAAAUUAUAUCAGAAGCAAGAGAGGAACCUCGUCUCGGCAAAAUUGAAGGCCCGAUUUCCUUUAGACCGGAUGGGGGGAGAGGUCCAGCAACGUCCAUAUGUGCCCCCACAGCCCUGUUAGGGACAGGAGGAGAACCUCGCCCUAACUUGAGCAAAGUCGAAGGCCCGAUUCCCUUUAGAUCGGAUGGGGGGAGAGGCCCAGCAACGUCCAUAUGCGCCCCCACAGCCCUGUUAGGGACAGGAGGAGAACCUCGCCCUAACUUAAGCAAAGUCGAAGGC
RNAcentral lists this long non-coding RNA (518 nucleotides) under Elaeis guineensis (African oil palm). RNAcentral describes it as "long non-coding RNA (EGUI_LNC049782)". The record is from RNAcentral. Lineage: Eukaryota; Viridiplantae; Streptophyta; Magnoliopsida; Arecales; Arecaceae.